Molecule: ribosomal RNA, 301 nt
Filed under: uncultured bacterium
Lineage: Bacteria
Description: partial 16S ribosomal RNA
Rfam family: Bacterial small subunit ribosomal RNA
Source: RNAcentral
CAGUCGCCGCGGUAAUACGGAGGGAGCUAGCGUUGUUCGGAAUUACUGGGCGUAAAGCGCACGUAGGCGGUUAUUCAAGUCAGAGGUGAAAGCCCGGGGCUCAACCCCGGAACUGCCUUUGAAACUAAAUGACUGGAAUCUUGGAGAGGUCAGUGGAAUUCCGAGUGUAGAGGUGAAAUUCGUAGAUAUUCGGAAGAACACCAACGGCGAAAGCACUCUGCUGGGCCGACACUGACACUGAGAGACGAAAGCUAGGGGAGCAAAUGGGAUUAGAUACCCCUGUAGUCCCUGUCUCUUAUAC